GUCUUGCUGUGGCGCUACAGAAGCAACAAAGGUGGAAGAUCUCAGUCUCCCUCUAGUGUCAGUCAACAGCAGAACAGCAGUCAGGCAUCAGAGCAGAACCAGAGUGAAGCGGGAUAUAAAUCACUCAUGUCUGGAACUGCUCAUACGUAUGACUCUAUUGAUGCAACAAAUAAUAAAGACAUAAGCACAGACAUUGUAAGUGGACCUGCUGAAGUCACCUAUGCUGAGAUUGAACUCAAAUCCACAGAGAAACAGAAGAAAAAGAA
Molecule: long non-coding RNA, 266 nt
Organism: Sinocyclocheilus grahami
Lineage: Eukaryota; Metazoa; Chordata; Actinopteri; Cypriniformes; Cyprinidae
Exons: 4
Source: RefSeq, a predicted model, not a curated record